CGACGCUGGCGGCGUGCCUAAUACAUGCAAGUCGAGCGGGCUUGUCCUUCGGACAAGCUAGCGGCGGACGGGUGAGUAACACGUAGGUAACCUGCCUUUAAGACUGGGAUAACUAUCGGAAACGAUAGCUAAGACCGGAUAACUGGUUUUCUCGCAUGAGAGAAUCAUAAAGCACGGAGCAAUCUGUGGCUUAAAGAUGGGCCUGCGGCGCAUUAGCUAGUUGGUGAGGUAACGGCUCACCAAGGCGACGAUGCGUAGCCGACCUGAGAGGGUGAACGGCCACACUGGGACUGAGACACGGCCCAGACUCCUACGGGAGGCAGCAGUAGGGAAUCUUCCGCAAUGGACGCAAGUCUGACGGAGCAACGCCGCGUGAGUGAUGAGGUUUUCGGAUCGUAAAGCUCUGUUGCCCUAGACGAACAGCAUCAGGAGUAACUGCCUGGUGUGUGACGGUAUAGGAGAAGAAAGCCCCGGCUAACUACGUG
This 485-nucleotide ribosomal RNA is filed under the name uncultured Paenibacillus sp. RNAcentral describes it as "bacterial SSU rRNA". It matches the Rfam family "Bacterial small subunit ribosomal RNA", at positions 33 to 507 of the family's 1533-position model. The record is from RNAcentral. Lineage: Bacteria; Bacillati; Bacillota; Bacilli; Caryophanales; Paenibacillaceae.